GAGGAUCUUCGGCAAUGGGCGAAAGCCUGACCGAGCGACGCCGCGUGCGGGAUGAAGGCCUUCGGGUUGUAAACCGCCGUCAGAGGGGAGGAAGUGCUAUGGGGUACUCUCCAUAGUUUGACCUAUCCUCAGAGGAAGGACGGGCUAAGUUCGUGCCAGCAGCCGCGGUAAGACGAACCGUCCAAACGUUAUUCGGAAUCACUGGGCUUAAAGGGUGCGUAGGCGGCUCAGAAAGUAGGGUGUGAAAGCCAUCGGCUCAACCGAGGAAUUGCGUCCUAAACUACUGGGCUUGAGGGAGACAGAGGUAAGCGGAACUUAGGGUGGAGCGGUGAAAUGCGUUGAUAUCCUAAGGAACACCAGGAGCGAAAGCGGCUUACUGGGUCUCUUCUGACGCUAAGGCACGAAAGCUAGGGGAGCGAACG
This 422-nucleotide ribosomal RNA is filed under the name uncultured prokaryote. RNAcentral describes it as "bacterial SSU rRNA". It matches the Rfam family "Bacterial small subunit ribosomal RNA", at positions 357 to 774 of the family's 1533-position model. The record is from RNAcentral.